CUAACUCCGAGUUGAAUCUCGCUGUGAGAGAUCUCGAAUAUUUAUUAGAGCAGAAAAACAGUGAAUCUUGUAUUAAUGAGCGCCAUUCUUCUGAAAAUGGAUCAUUACAUCGGUCAAUUUCCAAAUCAAGGCAAGCAUGCAUGCGCGAGUUGUGCAUUAAGGAUAAUGAAGACAUCGAAAUGCAAAUGGAGCAGCUUGCUUUGGACUACGAGAUUCUUAAACAGG
RNAcentral lists this unclassified non-coding RNA (225 nucleotides) under Hevea brasiliensis (rubber tree). Lineage: Eukaryota; Viridiplantae; Streptophyta; Magnoliopsida; Malpighiales; Euphorbiaceae. The record is from RNAcentral.